GACGAACGCUGGCGGCGUGCUUAACACAUGCAAGUCGAACGAAGAGCGACGGAAGCUUGCUUCUAUCAAUCUUAGUGGCGAACGGGUGAGUAACGCGUAAUCAACCUGCCCUUCAGAGGGGGACAACAGUUGGAAACGACUGCUAAUACCGCAUACGAUCUAAUCUCGGCAUCGAGGAUGGAUGAAAGGUGGCCUCUACAUGUAAGCUAUCACUGAAGGAGGGGAUUGCGUCUGAUUAGCUAGUUGGAGGGGUAACGGCCCACCAAGGCGAUGAUCAGUAGCCGGUCUGAGAGGAUGAACGGCCACAUUGGGACUGAGACACGGCCCAGACUCCUACGGGAGGCAGCAGUGGGGAAUCUUCCGCAAUGGACGAAAGUCUGACGGAGCAACGCCGCGUGAGUGAUGACGGCCUCCGGGUUGUAAAGCUCUGUUAAUCGGGACGAAAGGCCUUCUUGCGAAUAGUGAGAAGGAUUGACGGUACCGGAAUAGAAAGCCACGGCUAACUACGUG
Molecule: ribosomal RNA, 510 nt
Filed under: uncultured bacterium
Lineage: Bacteria
Description: partial 16S ribosomal RNA
Rfam family: Bacterial small subunit ribosomal RNA
Source: RNAcentral